UACAGAGGGUGCGAGCGUUGUUCGGAAUCACUGGGCAUAAAGCGCACGUAGGCGGCGACGUAAGUUGGGUGUGAAAUCCCUCGGCCCAACCGAGGAACUGCGCCCAGUACUGCGUUGCUUGAGGAUCCAAGGGGUGCAUGGAAUUCCCGGUGGAGCGGUGAAAUGCGUUGAUAUCGGGAGGAACUCCGGCGGCGAAAGCGGUGCACUGGUGGAUUUCUGACGCUGAGGUGCGAAAGCCAGGGGAGCAAACGGG
This 253-nucleotide ribosomal RNA is filed under the name uncultured bacterium. RNAcentral's name for it is "partial 16S ribosomal RNA". It matches the Rfam family "Bacterial small subunit ribosomal RNA", at positions 524 to 776 of the family's 1533-position model. The record is from RNAcentral.